RNAcentral lists this ribosomal RNA (518 nucleotides) under uncultured bacterium. RNAcentral describes it as "bacterial SSU rRNA". It matches the Rfam family "Bacterial small subunit ribosomal RNA", at positions 21 to 518 of the family's 1533-position model. The record is from RNAcentral.
GGCUCAGAACGAACGCUGGCGGCGUGGCUUAACACAUGCAAGUCGAACGCGAAAGGGACUUCGGUCCUGAGUAAAGUGGCGCACGGGUGAGUAACGCGUAGAUAACCUGUCUUCAUGUCUGGAAUAAUACGCCGAAAGGGGUACUAAUACCGGAUAUUCUUGCUUUUCAUAAGUUAUGCAAGCAAAGGUGGCCUCUGCAUAUGCUACUGCAUGAAGAGGGGUCUGCGUACCAUUAGCUAGUAGGUGGGGUAAUGGCCUACCUAGGCGACGAUGGUUAGCGGGUCUGAGAGGAUGAUCCGCCACACUGGCACUGGAACACGGGCCAGACUCCUACGGGAGGCAGCAGUGAGGAAUAUUGCGCAAUGGGGGAAACCCUGACGCAGCGACGCCGCGUGAGUGAGGAAGGCCUUCGGGUCGUAAAGCUCUGUCAAGAGGAAAGAAGUGUACAAUGGCUAAUACCUGUUGUAUUUGACGGUACCUCUAAAGGAAGCACCGGCUAACUCCGUGCCAGCCGCCGC